RNAcentral lists this long non-coding RNA (568 nucleotides) under Populus trichocarpa (black cottonwood). RNAcentral describes it as "long non-coding RNA (PTRI_LNC002327)". Lineage: Eukaryota; Viridiplantae; Streptophyta; Magnoliopsida; Malpighiales; Salicaceae. The record is from RNAcentral.
UUUGUAAGGUGUUUGGUUUGAGAUUGCAUUAAAUGCAUAAUAUUUUCUUUAUUGAACUCUUCUUCUAUAUAUCUCGUCUGGAGAUGUUGAAAGAUAAGUGCUUGAAUGGCCAGAGGUCGCUGCAGGUCGACGACGACGUGGAAAUUUAACGUUUUCUUGAUGAGUCGCCUUACACGUAUACAAAGGGACGUGGAUAGUUUGCAUAGUGAGUUCUGAGUCACAGAAACUAAAGAAAAAAUGCCUUGGAUUUAACAAGAAACGCGUGUCUUCUGUAUAUGGUUCACUGAGAAUUUCGAAAAUUAUCCGCCAGAAUUUGAAUUAAGCAGUUGAAGGUGAGUCCAGCAAAGUAAGUGCCCGUUUGGGAACGGAAGAGAACGGAAGAUCAGUUAAACUACUGAUACGUUCAUGAAAAGAAAGAAAAAGGCGGCCAUGGUGGCUGGCUAGCUAAGAACAAAUGCUCGGGUAGUACGUCGUCAGAAAGCAGAAGCACUUCUAGCAUUGGUGUGUUUACACUUGUUGGAAAUUUAUGUUGCCUUAAUUUUGACUACCUAAAUUAUAUAUAUAUAUA